RNAcentral lists this long non-coding RNA (700 nucleotides) under Homo sapiens (human). RNAcentral's name for it is "non-protein coding lnc-RC3H1-1:16". The record is from RNAcentral. Lineage: Eukaryota; Metazoa; Chordata; Mammalia; Primates; Hominidae.
AGAGCUGUUAGAGCAGGGACGCGCGAAAGGCGGGAGUACGGGCGGCGCUGGAGAACCUCCGCGGCGGAGGGGCCUGGGGGUGGGACCGCGCCCGCGAGCCCGCCCUGACCGGGGUGCGUUCUACUGGCAGUUGCUGAGUUCGGAAGAUUAACUCUGAAUGUGGAGAGAUUAUUUUCUUGCUCGUAAACCUGGUUUACAUAUUUUCAUUCUUAAUGCUCAGUAAUCUUAAGGAAAGUCACCUGAAAGAAUACUUUUUCACCAAGUACUCUUCUGCGCCUGUUUGAAGGUGUCUGUGUGCUUGUGAAGCGCUCCCUUGUUAGUUCCUUCUGUGAGACUCGGGGGAGACUGAAGAGGGAAAUCACCUGCGGGGAAUGAACAGGAAAGCAAUAAGAAGAUUUGGAAAAGAGGCACUGGCUACUGGAGGAAGGGAGAAAUCACCGAGAGAGCGAAAGAUGUAACAGAAACAGGCUCUUGUUCUGUCACCCAUACUUGGAGUGCAGUGGUACAAUGAUAGCUCACUGCAGCCUCAAACUCCUGGUCUCAAGCAAUCCUCUCACCUCAGCCUCCCAGAAAAAAAAGGCCUUAUGAAGACAUUGCAAAAGGACAACUAUCUGCAAACCAGGAAGACAGACCUCACCAGAAAUCAACCCUGCUGGUGGUACCUUGAUCUUAGACUUCCAGCCUCCAGAAGUAUGAGAAA